Molecule: ribosomal RNA, 766 nt
Filed under: uncultured bacterium
Lineage: Bacteria
Description: bacterial SSU rRNA
Rfam family: Bacterial small subunit ribosomal RNA
Source: RNAcentral
AGAGUUUGAUCAUGGCUCAGAAUUAACGCUGGCGGCAUGCCUAACACAUGCAAGUCGCACGAGAAAGCCCGGUUCGCCGGGCGAGUACAGUGGCGCACGGGUGAGUAACGCGUGGAUAAUCUACCUCUAUCUGGGGGAUAACGCACCGAAAGGUGCGCUAAUACCGCAUAAUCCGGCGGGCCUGCGGGUCGGUCGGCAAAGGUGGCCUCUUCUUGAAAGCUACCGGGUGGAGAUGAGUCCGCGUCCCAUUAGCUAGUUGGUAGGGUAACGGCCUACCAAGGCGACGAUGGGUAGCUGGUCUGAGAGGACGAUCAGCCACACUGGAACUGGAACACGGUCCAGACUCCUACGGGAGGCAGCAGUGAGGAAUAUUGCGCAAUGGGGGAAACCCUGACGCAGCGAUGCCGCGUGGGUGAAGAAGGCCUUCGGGUCGUAAAGCCCUGUCAAGCGGGAAGAACAGCGGCGGGACGAAUAAUCCCGUCGUGUGACGGUACCGCUGAAGGAAGCACCGGCUAACUCCGUGCCAGCAGCCGCGGUAAGACGGAGGGUGCGAGCGUUAUUCGGAAUUAUUGGGCGUAAAGAGCGUGUAGGCGGCCGGCCAAGCCAGAGGUGAAAGCCCAGGGCUUAACCCUGGAAGUGCCUUUGGAACUGGUUGGCUUGAGUUCGGGAGAGGGAAGUGGAAUUCCGGGUGUAGAGGUGAAAUUCGUAGAUAUCCGGAGGAACACCGGUGGCGAAGGCGACUUCCUGGACCGAAACUGACGCUGAG